This 428-nucleotide ribosomal RNA is filed under the name uncultured bacterium. RNAcentral describes it as "bacterial SSU rRNA". It matches the Rfam family "Bacterial small subunit ribosomal RNA", at positions 355 to 776 of the family's 1533-position model. The record is from RNAcentral.
UCGAGAAUUUUUCUCAAUGGGGGAAACCCUGAAGGAGCGACGCCGCGUGGAGGAUGAAGGUCUUCGGAUCGUAAACUCCUGUCAUUUGGGAACAAUUGUUAGCGAUUAACUGUCGUUAGCUUGAUAGUACCAGAAGAGGAAGAGACGGCUAACUCUGUGCCAGCAGCCGCGGUAAUACAGAGGUCUCAAGCGUUGUUCGGAUUCAUUGGGCGUAAAGGGUGCGUAGGUGGCGAGGUAAGUCAGGUGUGAAAUCUCGGGGCUCAACCUCGAAACUGCACUUGAUACUGCCUUGCUUGAGUACUGGAGAGGAGAUUGGAAUUUACGGUGUAGCAGUGAAAUGCGUAGAUAUCGUAAGGAAGACCAGUGGCGAAGGCGAAUCUCUGGACAGUUACUGACACUGAGGCACGAAGGCCAGGGGAGCAAACGGG